GCCCCUAUAGCUCAGUGGUAGAGCGCAGCACUUGUAACUCCAAUCCGAUAAAAAGGAUUCAGGGUACAGCAAUGCUGAGGUCUGUAGUUCAAUCCUGCAUGGGGGCU
Non-coding RNA from Delphinella strobiligena, 107 nucleotides. Lineage: Eukaryota; Fungi; Ascomycota; Dothideomycetes; Dothideales; Dothioraceae. The record is from the annotation of a GenBank genome assembly.